RNAcentral lists this ribosomal RNA (253 nucleotides) under uncultured bacterium. RNAcentral describes it as "partial 16S ribosomal RNA". It matches the Rfam family "Bacterial small subunit ribosomal RNA", at positions 524 to 776 of the family's 1533-position model. The record is from RNAcentral.
UACGUAGGGGGCUAGCGUUGUCCGGAAUCACUGGGCGUAAAGGGCGCGUAGGCGGCCUGGUAAGUAGGGGGUGAAAUCUUGCGGCUCAACUGCAAGGCUGCCUCCUAAACUGUCAGGCUUGAGCACAGUAGAGGCAGGUGGAAUUCCCGGUGUAGCGGUGGAAUGCGUAGAGAUCGGGAAGAACAUCGGUGGCGAAGGCAGCCAUCUGGACCGACACUGACGCUGAGGCGCGAAAGCGUGGGGAGCAAACAGG